GGAUGAACGCUAGCGACAGGCUUAACACAUGCAAGUCGAGGGGCAGCAUAGAAGUAGCAAUACGUUGGUGGCGACCGGCGCACGGGUGAGUAACGCGUAUGCAACCUACCUAUCAGGAGGGGAAUAACCCGGCGAAAGUCGGACUAAUACCGCAUAAAACAGGGGCACCGCAUGGUGAUAUUUGUUAAAGAAAUUCGCUGAUAGAUGGGCAUGCGUUCCAUUAGGUAGUUGGUGAGGUAACGGCUCACCAAGCCGACGAUGGAUAGGGGAACUGAGAGGUUGGUCCCCCACACUGGUACUGAGACACGGACCAGACUCCUACGGGAGGCAGCAGUGAGGAAUAUUGGUCAAUGGGCGAGAGCCUGAACCAGCCAAGUCGCGUGAAGGGAAAAGAAGGAUCUAUGGUUCGUAAACUUCUUUUGCAGGGGAAUAAAGUGCAGGACGUGUCCUGUUUUGUAUGUACCCUGAGAAUAAGGAUCGGCUAACUCCGUGCCAGCAGCAGC
Molecule: ribosomal RNA, 503 nt
Filed under: uncultured bacterium
Lineage: Bacteria
Description: bacterial SSU rRNA
Rfam family: Bacterial small subunit ribosomal RNA
Source: RNAcentral